GGGUCGCUAGCUCAAUGGUAGAGCACUCGGCUUUUAACCGAAUUGUUCCGGGUUCAAAUCCCGGGCGACCCA
This 72-nucleotide transfer RNA is filed under the name Pseudanabaena sp. UWO310. Its description in RNAcentral is "tRNA-Lys". It matches the Rfam family "tRNA". From Rfam's summary of the family: Transfer RNA (tRNA) molecules are approximately 80 nucleotides in length. Their secondary structure includes four short double-helical elements and three loops (D, anti-codon, and T loops). Lineage: Bacteria; Bacillati; Cyanobacteriota; Cyanophyceae; Pseudanabaenales; Pseudanabaenaceae. The record is from RNAcentral.